CUAACAAGGAUUCCCCUAGUAACUGCGAGUGAAGCGGGAAAAGCUCAAAUUUAAAAUCUGGCAGUCUUUGGCUGUCUGAGUUGUAAUCUAGAGAAGUAUUAUCCGCGCUGAACCGUGUACAAGUYUCCUGGAAUGGAGCGUCAUAGAGGGUGAGAAUCCCGUCUUUGACACGGACUGCCAGGGCUUUGUGAUGUGCUCUCAAAGAGUCGAGUUGUUUGGGAAUGCAGCUCAAAAUGGGUGGUAAAUUCCAUCUAAAGCUAAAUAUUGGCGAGAGACCGAUAGCGAACAAGUACCGUGAGGGAAAGAUGAAAAGAACUUUGGAAAGAGAGUUAAACAGUACGUGAAAUUGCUGAAAGGGAAACGCUUGAAGUCAGUCACGUUGGCCAGGGAUCAACCUUGCUUUUUUUUUUUUGCUGGGCUUACUUUCUGGUCAAUGGGUCAGCAUCAAUUUUGACUGGUGGAAAAAGUUCAAGGGGAAUGUGGCAUCUUUUGAUGUGUAAUAGCCUUUGUUCGCAUACACCGGUUGGGAUUGAGGAACUCAGCCAUGCCGCAAGGCCGGGUUUUUUUAACCACGUACAUGCUUAGGAUGCUGGCAUAAUGGCUUUAAUCGACCCGUCUUGAAACACGGACCAAGGAGUCUAACAUGCCUGCGAGUGUUUGGGUGAAAAACUCGAGUGCGUAAUGAAAGUGAAAGUUGAGAUCCCUGUCAUGGGGAGCAUUGACGCCCGGAUCUGACCUUUUGUGACGAUUCUGCGGUAGAGCAUGUAUGUUGGGACCCGAAAGAUGGUGAACUAUGCCUGAAUAGGGUGAAGCCAGAGGAAACUCUGGUGGAGGCUCGUAGCGAUUCUGACGUGCAAAUCGAUCGUCAAAUUUGGGUAUAGGGGCGAAA
RNAcentral lists this ribosomal RNA (889 nucleotides) under Laccaria sp. RNAcentral describes it as "partial large subunit ribosomal RNA". The record is from RNAcentral. Lineage: Eukaryota; Fungi; Basidiomycota; Agaricomycetes; Agaricales; Hydnangiaceae.